UACGGAGGGUGCAAGCGUUAUCCGGAUUCACUGGGUUUAAAGGGUGUGUAGGCGGGCUUUUAAGUCAGUGGUGAAAUCUCCUGGCUCAACCUGGAAACUGCCAUUGAUACUAUUGGUCUUGAAUUUUGUUGAGGUAGGCGGAAUAUAUCAUGUAGCGGUGAAAUGUUUAGAUAUGAUAUAGAACACCGAUUGCGAAGGCAGCUUACUAAACAAAUAUUGACGCUGAGGCACGAAAGCGUGGGGAUCAAACAGG
RNAcentral lists this ribosomal RNA (253 nucleotides) under uncultured bacterium. RNAcentral describes it as "partial 16S ribosomal RNA". It matches the Rfam family "Bacterial small subunit ribosomal RNA", at positions 524 to 776 of the family's 1533-position model. The record is from RNAcentral.